This 722-nucleotide ribosomal RNA is filed under the name Escherichia coli. Its description in RNAcentral is "partial 23S ribosomal RNA". It matches the Rfam family "Bacterial large subunit ribosomal RNA", at positions 2200 to 2916 of the family's 2925-position model. Lineage: Bacteria; Pseudomonadati; Pseudomonadota; Gammaproteobacteria; Enterobacterales; Enterobacteriaceae. The record is from RNAcentral.
CCACCCUUUAAUGUUUGAUGUUCUAACGUUGGCCCCUGAUCGGGGUUGCGGACAGUGUCUGGUGGGUAGUUUGACUGGGGCGGUCUCCUCCUAAAGAGUAACGGAGGAGCACGAAGGUUGGCUAAUCCUGGUCGGACAUCAGGAGGUUAGUGCAAUGGCAUAAGCCAGCUUGACUGCGAGCGUGACGGCGCGAGCAGGUGCGAAAGCAGGUCAUAGUGAUCCGGUGGUUCUGAAUGGAAGGGCCAUCGCUCAACGGAUAAAAGGUACUCCGGGGAUAACAGGCUGAUACCGCCCAAGAGUUCAUAUCGACGGCGGUGUUUGGCACCUCGAUGUCGGCUCAUCACAUCCUGGGGCUGAAGUAGGUCCCAAGGGUAUGGCUGUUCGCCAUUUAAAGUGGUACGCGAGCUGGGUUUAGAACGUCGUGAGACAGUUCGGUCCCUAUCUGCCGUGGGCGCUGGAGAACUGAGGGGGGCUGCUCCUAGUACGAGAGGACCGGAGUGGACGCAUCACUGGUGUUCGGGUUGUCAUGCCAAUGGCACUGCCCGGUAGCUAAAUGCGGAAGAGAUAAGUGCUGAAAGCAUCUAAGCACGAAACUUGCCCCGAGAUGAGUUCUCCCUGAGACUUUAAGUCUCCUGAAGGAACGUUGAAGACGACGACGUUGAUAGGCCGGGUGUGUAAGCGCAGCGAUGCGUUGAGCUAACCGGUACUAAUGAACCGUGAGG